RNAcentral lists this transfer RNA (77 nucleotides) under candidate division WWE3 bacterium. RNAcentral describes it as "tRNA-Val". It matches the Rfam family "tRNA". From Rfam's summary of the family: Transfer RNA (tRNA) molecules are approximately 80 nucleotides in length. Their secondary structure includes four short double-helical elements and three loops (D, anti-codon, and T loops). The record is from RNAcentral. Lineage: Bacteria; candidate division WWE3.
GGGCGGUUAGCUCAGUUGGUUAGAGCGCUUCGCUUACAUCGAAGAGGUCGGGAGUUCGAAUCUCUCACCGCCCACCA